CGGAUGACGAGAAGCUUGCUUCUCUGAUUUAGCGGCGGACGGGUGAGUAACACGUGGGCAACCUGCCCUGUAGACUGGGAUAACUUCGGGAAACCGGAGCUAAUACCGGAUAAUUCUUUUAGCCUCAUGGCUUUAAGCUAAAAGGCGCUUCGGCGUCACUACAGGAUGGGCCCGCGGUGCAUUAGCUAGUUGGUGGGGUAACGGCCUACCAAGGCAACGAUGCAUAGCCGACCUGAGAGGGUGAUCGGCCACAUUGGGACUGAGACACGGCCCAAACUCCUACGGGAGGCAGCAGUAGGGAAUCUUCCACAAUGGACGAAAGUCUGAUGGAGCAACGCCGCGUGAGUGAUGAAGGUUUUCGGAUCGUAAAACUCUGUUGUAAGGGAAGAACAAGUGCGUUAGGUAAUGAACGCACCUUGACGGUACCUUAUUAGAAAGCCACGGCUAACUACGUGCCAGCAGCCGCGGUAAUACGUAGGUGGCAAGCGUUGUCCGGAUUUAUUGGGCGUAAAGCGCGCGCAGGUGGUUUCUUAAGUCUGAUGUGAAAGCCCACGGCUCAACCGUGGAGGGUCAUUGGAAACUGGGAGACUU
Molecule: ribosomal RNA, 591 nt
Filed under: Kurthia sp.
Lineage: Bacteria; Bacillati; Bacillota; Bacilli; Caryophanales; Caryophanaceae
Description: bacterial SSU rRNA
Rfam family: Bacterial small subunit ribosomal RNA
Source: RNAcentral